GAUUGACCUCGGAUCAGGUAGGGAUACCCGCUGAACUUAAGCAUAUCAAUAAGCGGAGGAAAAGAAACCAACAGGGAUUGCCUCAGUAACGGCGAGUGAAGCGGCAACAGCUCAAAUUUGAAAUCUGGCUCCUUCGGGGCCCGAGUUGUAAUUUGCAGAGGACGUUUCGGGUGCGGCCCGGUCUAAGUCCCUUGGAACAGGGCGUCAUAGAGGGUGAGAAUCCCGUAUGUGACCGGUGACCAACCCCAUGUGAAACCCCUUCGACGAGUCGAGUUGUUUGGGAAUGCAGCUCAAAAUGGGUGGUAAAUUCCAUCUAAAGCUAAAUACUGGCCAGAGACCGAUAGCGCACAAGUAGAGUGAUCGAAAGAUGAAAAGCACUUUGGAAAGAGAGUCAAACAGUACGUGAAAUUGUUGAAAGGGAAGCGCUGGCAACCAGACCUGCCCCGGGCGAUCAGCGGGUGUUCUCACCCGUGCACUCGCCCGCGAUCAGGCCAGCAUCGGUUUCGGCGGUCGGAUACAGACCCGGGGAACGUGGCUCUCUUCGGGGAGUGUUAUAGCCCCGGGUGCAAUGCGGCCAGCCGGGACCGAGGACCGCGCUUCGGCUAGGAUGCUGGCGUAAUGUAUCA
This 626-nucleotide ribosomal RNA is filed under the name Sphaerophorus globosus. RNAcentral describes it as "LSU rRNA". It matches the Rfam family "Eukaryotic large subunit ribosomal RNA", at positions 1 to 643 of the family's 3401-position model. Lineage: Eukaryota; Fungi; Ascomycota; Lecanoromycetes; Lecanorales; Sphaerophoraceae. The record is from RNAcentral.